GAUGAACGCUGGCGGCGUGCCUAAUACAUGCAAGUCGAGCGAACAGAUGAGGAGCUUGCUCCUCUGACGUUAGCGGCGGACGGGUGAGUAACACGUGGAUAACCUACCUAUAAGACUGGGAUAACUUCGGGAAACCGGAGCUAAUACUGGAUAAUAUAUUGAACCGCAUGGUUCAAUAGUGAAAGACGGUUUUGCUGUCACUUAUAGAUGGAUCCGCGCCGCAUUAGCUAGUUGGUAAGGUAACGGCUUACCAAGGCAACGAUGCGUAGCCGACCUGAGAGGAUGAUCAGCCACACUGGAACUGAGACACGGUCCAGACUCCUACGGGAGGCAGCAGUAGGGAAUCUUGCACAAUGGGCGAAAGCCUGACGGAGCAACGCCGCGUGAGUGAUGAAGGUCUUCGGAUCGUAAAACUCUGUUAUUAGGGAAGAACAACUGUGUAAUUAUCUAUCGAUGUCUUGACGGUACCCAAACAGUAAGCCACGGCUAACUACGUG
This 497-nucleotide ribosomal RNA is filed under the name uncultured bacterium. RNAcentral's name for it is "partial 16S ribosomal RNA". It matches the Rfam family "Bacterial small subunit ribosomal RNA", at positions 28 to 507 of the family's 1533-position model. The record is from RNAcentral.